Molecule: ribosomal RNA, 694 nt
Filed under: uncultured bacterium
Lineage: Bacteria
Description: bacterial SSU rRNA
Rfam family: Bacterial small subunit ribosomal RNA
Source: RNAcentral
GCUACCAUGCAGUCGACGGUAACAGCAGAGCUUGCUCUGGCUGACGAGUGGCGCACGGGUGAGUAAUAUAUAGGUAAUGUACCCCUUGGACCGGGAUAGCCAUUGGAAACGAUGAUUAAUACUGGAUACUCCUUCUAACCAAAAGGUUAGUUGGGAAAUGGAUUCUGCCAAGGGAUCGGCCUAUAUCCCAUCAGCUAGUUGGUAGUGUAAGAGACUACCAAGGCGAUGACGGGUAGCGGGUUUGAGAGGAUGAUCCGCCACACUGGUACUGAGACACGGCCCGGACUCCUACGGGAGGCAGCAGUGGGGAAUAUUGCACAAUGGGGGAAACCCUGAUGCAGCAACGCCGCGUGGAGGAUGACGCAUUUCGGUGUGUAAACUCCUUUUAUAUGUCAAGAAAAUGACGGUAGCAUAUGAAUAAGCACCGGCUAACUCCGUGCCAGCAGCCGCGGUAAUACGGAGGGUGCAAGCGUUAUUCGGAAUCACUGGGCGUAAAGGACGCGUAGGCGGGUUGGUAAGUCAGAUGUGAAAUCCUACAGCUUAACUGUAGAACUGCAUUUGAAACUACUAACCUAGAGUAUGGGAGGGGGAGAUGGAAUUAGUGGUGUAGGGGGUAAAAUCCGUAGAUAUCACUAGGAAUACCGAAAGCGAAGGCGAUCUGCUGGAACAUAACUGACGCUAAGGCGUGAAAGCG